GGAAGGGUGGAAGGACAGGCCUGGGAGUGCACAGCUGUUAUAGGAAGAAGGCACCACGACCUCAGCGAAAUCUGGCAUCAGGAAAGAAGUGAGAGCCGCAGAGCCCCACACCCACCCGAAUCUCCAACCUCCAAGCUCUUGUUCCUGUGGCAACACCUCAUGUACUUCGUCUCUACGGAGGAGUAUCUCAAUACAAAGAUAAAGUGGCUCCUACCCUUUGGCACAUUGUGGGGUCUAAUUGACAAGGCAGGGUCUCACUAUGCAGCAAAAGCUGGCUUCACAUUAGAAUCAGUUCACUGGAUCUGCUGGAGCACACCUUUAAUCCCAACACUCGCGAAGCAGAAGCAGGUAGAUCUCUAUGAGUCUGAGGGUCUACAGAGAGUUCCAUGACAGCCAAGACUACACAGAGAAACCCGUCUAGAGGAAGAAAGAAAGAAAGAAAGAAAGAAAGAAAGAAAGAAAGAAAGAAUCUGUUCAUGUGCUUCCUUCCCUUUCCUCCGACCGAUCCGCAACGAGAGCCCUCACCCAGUGGCUGAUGGAAGCAGAGACAGACAUCCACAGAAAUACACUGAGCUGAAAUCUGGAAUUUAGUUGAAGAGAGGGAGGAAUGAAGAGCGAAGGGGUCUGUACCAGGUUGGAGAAACCCACGGGAACAAUUGA
This 660-nucleotide long non-coding RNA is filed under the name Cricetulus griseus (Chinese hamster). RNAcentral's name for it is "lncRNA (ENSCGRG00000026079.1)". Lineage: Eukaryota; Metazoa; Chordata; Mammalia; Rodentia; Cricetidae. The record is from RNAcentral.